GAUGAAGAACGUAGCGAAAUGCGAUAAGUAAUGUGAAUUGCAGAAUUCAGUGAAUCAUCGAAUCAUUGAACGCACAUUGCGCCCGCCAGUAUUCUGGCGGGCAUGCCUGUCUGAGCGUCAUUUCAACCCUCAUGCCCCUAGGGCGUGGUGUUGGGGAUCGGCCAAAGCCCGCGAGGGACGGCCGGCCCCUAAAUCUAGUGGCGGACCCGUCGUGGCCUCCUCUGCGAAGUAGUGAUAUUCCGCAUCGGAGAGCGAUGAGCCCCUGCCGUUAAACCCCCAACUUUCCAAGGUUGACCUCAGAUCAGGUAGGAAUACCCGCUGAACUUAAGCAUAUCAAUAAGCGGAGGA
This 348-nucleotide unclassified non-coding RNA is filed under the name soil metagenome. RNAcentral describes it as "partial contains 5.8S ribosomal RNA, internal transcribed spacer 2, and large subunit ribosomal RNA". The stretch from base 1 to 120 matches the Rfam family "5.8S ribosomal RNA", at positions 35 to 154 of the family's 154-position model. The record is from RNAcentral.